GACGAACGCUGGCGGCAGGCCUAACACAUGCAAGUCGAGCGCGCCUUUCGGGGCGAGCGGCGGACGGGUGAGUAACGCGUGGGAAUAUGCCCUUCUCUGCGGAAUAGUCCCGGGAAACUGGGGGUAAUACCGCAUACGCCCUGCCAUCGUGGUGAUGGCGGGGAAAGAUUUAUCGGGGAAGGAUUAGCCCGCGUUGGAUUAAGUAGUUGGUGGGGUAAUGGCCCACCAAGCCGACGAUCCAUAGCUGGUUUGAGAGGAUGAUCGGCCGCACUGGGACUGAGACACGGCCCAG
RNAcentral lists this ribosomal RNA (292 nucleotides) under uncultured bacterium. RNAcentral describes it as "partial 16S ribosomal RNA". It matches the Rfam family "Bacterial small subunit ribosomal RNA", at positions 28 to 334 of the family's 1533-position model. The record is from RNAcentral.